Molecule: ribosomal RNA, 370 nt
Filed under: uncultured bacterium
Lineage: Bacteria
Description: bacterial SSU rRNA
Rfam family: Bacterial small subunit ribosomal RNA
Source: RNAcentral
AGAGGCCUCGAGCGUUAAUCGGAAUCACUGGGCUUAAAGCGUGCGUAGGCGGACGUGCAAGCAUGUUGUGAAAUCCCAUGGCUCAACCAUGGAACUGCUUCGUGAACUGCACGUCUUGAGACAAGUAGGGGCGGUCGGAACGAUAGGUGGAGCGGUGAAAUGCGUAGAUAUCUAUCGGAACGCCGAAGGAGAAGUCAGGCCGCUGGGCUUGUUCUGACGCUGAGGUACGAAAGCGUGGGGAGCAAACGGGACUAGAUACCCCGGUAGUCCACGCUGUAAACGAUGCGCACUAGAUCGAGGAGGUUUGACACCCCCUUGGUCGAAGCAAAAGUGUUUAGUGCGCCGCCUGGGGAGUACGGUCGCAAGGCUA